UACGGAGGGAGCGAGCGUUAAUCGGAAUUACUGGGCGUAAAGCGCACGUAGGCGGCUUUGUAAGUCGGAUGUGAAAGCCCUGGGCUUAACCUGGGAAUGGCAUUCGAUACUGCAUGGCUAGAGUAUGGUAGAGGGAAGUGGAAUUUCCGGUGUAGCGGUGAAAUGCGUAGAUAUCGGAAGGAACACCAGUGGCGAAGGCGACUUCCUGGGCCAAUACUGACGCUGAGGUGCGAAAGCGUGGGGAGCAAACAGG
This 253-nucleotide ribosomal RNA is filed under the name uncultured bacterium. RNAcentral describes it as "partial 16S ribosomal RNA". It matches the Rfam family "Bacterial small subunit ribosomal RNA", at positions 524 to 776 of the family's 1533-position model. The record is from RNAcentral.